RNAcentral lists this ribosomal RNA (253 nucleotides) under uncultured bacterium. RNAcentral's name for it is "partial 16S ribosomal RNA". It matches the Rfam family "Bacterial small subunit ribosomal RNA", at positions 523 to 776 of the family's 1533-position model. The record is from RNAcentral.
GUACGAGGGGGCUAGCGUUGUUCGGAAUUACUGGGCGUAAAGCGCGUGUAGGCGGUUGUUCAAGUCAGGUGUGAAAGCCUUGAGCUCAACUCAAGAAAUGCACUUGAUACUGGAUGACUAGAGGACCGGAGAGGAUAGUGGAAUUCCCAGUGUAGUGGUGAAAUACGUAGAGAUUGGGAAGAACACCAGUGGCGAAGGCGGCUAUCUGGACGGUUUCUGACGCUAAGACGCGAAAGCGUGGGGAGCAAACAGG